CCCUUAGAUGUUCUGGGCCGCACGCGCGCUACACUGUUUGAUUCAGCGAGUCUUAACCUUGACCGAAAGGUUUGGGUAAUCUUCUAAAGUCAAACGUGAUGGGGAUCGAUCAUUGCAAUUAUUGAUCGUGAACGAGGAAUUCCUAGUAAAUGCAAGUCAUCAGCUUGCGUUGAUUACGUCCCUGCCCUUUGUACACACCGCCCGUCGCUACUACCGAUUGAAUGGUUUAGUGAGGGCCUCGGAUUGGUCUCGGCCCGCUCUUUACCGGGCGGCGCCGUUGGUCGAGAAGACGCUCGAAUUUGAUCGUUUAGAGGAAGUAAAAGUCGUAACA
This 331-nucleotide ribosomal RNA is filed under the name uncultured eukaryote. RNAcentral describes it as "partial 18S ribosomal RNA". It matches the Rfam family "Eukaryotic small subunit ribosomal RNA", at positions 1470 to 1796 of the family's 1831-position model. The record is from RNAcentral.